Non-coding RNA from Odocoileus virginianus texanus, 2209 nucleotides. Lineage: Eukaryota; Metazoa; Chordata; Mammalia; Artiodactyla; Cervidae. The record is from RefSeq and is a predicted model, not a curated record.
AGGGUAUAUCACUACAGACCUAUAGCUGGAAAAAAGAAGAAAUCAGGAGAAACUCAAUUUAGAAAAAGAAUUAGGUUGAAUUACGAAAGAUGGGGUAAAAUAUCAUCUGCUCUGGCCAGGAUUCAAGUAAGGCUGAGUAGUCUUCCACUUGUGCCACAUUCAACAAAUCACCUGAUAUCAUGUUCAUCACAUCUAACAACUGCCUCGUAGCCUGAGAACUCAGCUAAUUCCAGACACUCUGCUGAGAAGUCUGAGACAGAACAGUAAUGUGAGGGAGAAGAAGGGCACACAAAUUAUCAUUUAAUGCAGUGCUUUAGAGGUAGCUAAGAUGGUGGAAUAUGAAGACCCAGAACUCACCUCCUCUCACAAACAAACCAAAUUUACAACUAUUUACAGGGCAACUGCCCAUGAGAAUGAUCCAAGACUAGCAGAAAAGAUUUUCUACAAUUAAGACUUGCCAAUAAGAGUAUCCCAAAGAGACAGGAAGAACUAAGACUCUACUUGGAGAAUAAACACUGGCAACAACCAUUUUGGGAGUUUAUUAUACCACUAUAGCACCACUGCUGGUAGAAACCAUUUUGGAAUUCUCUCUCUAGCAUAGUAGUGUUGGGCCUUACACUCACCAGGAGGCAAGCACCGUUCCUGAGUACCCCACCCCCAAGUGCUAAAGAGACAGCCCAUGAGGACCCAAUCCUGCUUCCCAGAAGGCCAGCACCAGCCCUGCACUACCCUGAAACAAACAACCAAUCAUGCAAGAAACCUACCCUGUGCCUCACAGCAAACUGGGCAGACCUACAGCCUCACAGCAAACUGGGCAGAGGCCACUCCCACCCACAGUAGUCAGCCCUACUACUAAAAAAGGGUGCACAUAGUCCAUAUAGGGAGUAUCCCUAGAACAUACAGCUCUGGUGAAAAAGAGGAGCAUGGUUUUGGAGGUCCUCUAUGAUAUCUUUUAUAUAAGGCUACUUCUCCAAUAUUAGCAAACACAAUCAUCCUUCCUAACACAGAGAAAGCAACAGAGAGAAUUGGGGAAAAUGAAGAGACUGGAAUAUGUUCCAAAUGAAGCAAUAAGACCAAACCUGAGAAAAGAACUAAAAAACAAGUGGGUACAUGCAAUCUACAAGAGUACAAGAUAAUGAUCACAAAUAUGCUUACCAAACAUUUGAGAAGGAUUUUGAGAUAUUGAAGAUAUGUUUGAGAUAAAAGAUUAAGAUGAACACAGUGAGAAUUUUAACAAAUAUGCAAAAAUAUAAAUAAGAACCAAACAGAGCAAAAGAAUGCAAUCACUGAAAUAAAAAUAUACUAGAAGAAUUCAACAGUAGAUUAAAUGACAUGAAGGAAUGAGUCAGAGAACUGGAGGACACAGUCAUGAAAAUCAUCAAGUGAGACAGAAAAGAAGAGAAAAAAAAUUAAUGAGGAUAAUUUAAGAGACCUUUGAGACAGCAUCAAGCAUAUUAACAUUUCCAUUCUGUGGAUCUUAGAAGGUGAAGAAAGAAAGAGACAGAUAACUUAUUUGAAGAAAUAAUAACUGAAAAAUUAUCCAACCUGAGGGAGAAAACAAACAUCCAUGUACAGAAAGCACUGAGGGACACAAAGAAGAUGAAUCCAAAAAGUCCACAUCAAAACAAUAUAAUUAAAAAGAAAAAAGUUAAAGAUAAAGUGAAAAAUCUUAAAAUCAACAAGAGAAAAGUCAGCUAGCUAUAUAUAAGAACUCCUAUAAGGCCACCAACUGACUUUUUAGCAGAAACUCUAAAGGCCAGAAAGGAGUAGCAUGAUAUAUUCAAAGUAAUGAAAGGAAAAAGACCUACAACCAAAAAUACUCUACGCAGCAAGGCUAUGAUAUACAUUUGAAGGAGAAAUAAGAGUUUUUCAUAUAAGCUAAAGUUAAAAACAUUCAGCAUCACUAAACUGGUCUUAAAUAAAAUGGUAAAGGAAGUUCUCUAAAUGUUCCAACCAAAAGGCACAGAGUGGCUGAAUAGACAGAAAAACAAUACUCAUAUGCGAGCUGCCUACAAAGAACUCAUUUCAGAAGCAAGCACAUGCACACAGACUGAAAGUGAAAGGAUGAAUGAACGUGAAAGGAUGAAGAAAGGUAUUCCUUCCGUGCAAAUGAAAGUCAAAAGAAAGCUGAAGUAGCAAUACUUAUUUCUGACAAAACAGGCUUCAAAAUGAAGACUGUUAUAAGAGACAAAGACAUUACUUAAUAAUA